This is a long non-coding RNA of Harpia harpyja (harpy eagle), 655 nucleotides long. RefSeq lists it as uncharacterized. The record is from RefSeq and is a predicted model, not a curated record. The transcript is spliced from 2 exons. Lineage: Eukaryota; Metazoa; Chordata; Aves; Accipitriformes; Accipitridae.
GGGCCAAAGUAACAUCGGAGAGUGAACCACAAAAACCAACUGCAGGAGCAAGAAAUGUUAGAAUGAAAAGUCUCCAGUGAAACAAAAAGUGAAACAGCCACCCAACUUGUCAGUUUGCUGGAGAGGAGGGACAGCACUGAGAUAGAAAUGGCAUCACUUCCAAACCCGCACAGCACGCUGCAGCCCCAGGGGAGCCAGAGAGGCCCCAUGCCUCACAGCACCAGGCAGAGCCUCCUCGCUAUCCAGUAUGGACAAAAGUAGUUAGUUGUGUCUCAAACCUAAAGAAAUCACUUUACAACAGAAGGACAUCCUUUAUAACAUGGCUAACUCGCCCUUAGUGGAGACUGCCAUAAAAAGGUGAAGCAGAGGAGACUACUCCAUCAAUACAGAUGCCUGAGCUCUUGAAAGGAUAAAAUAACUCUUCUUCAGCUUUCUCUCACCUCUAACAGGUCUAACUCGGGUACAUUUUUUCCUUCCUAUAUGGCUUAAAAGCUGUAAAUCUGACCAGGUUCCUAUGACACAGGCUAUACUAAGAAGUAGAUGAGGUCAAAUAGUAACCAGCAGGAAAAAAAAUAGGCCCCAAACCACUGGCUAAAGCAAACCUGGCAAGUUAUUGUACAUGCCUAGAUAUGAUACUAAGUUUCCAUACUUGGGG